RNAcentral lists this ribosomal RNA (440 nucleotides) under uncultured bacterium. RNAcentral describes it as "partial 16S ribosomal RNA". It matches the Rfam family "Bacterial small subunit ribosomal RNA", at positions 339 to 795 of the family's 1533-position model. The record is from RNAcentral.
CUACGGGUGGCUCCAGUGAGGAAUAUUGCACAAUAGGGGGAACCCUGAUGCAGCAACGCCGCGUGGAGGAUGACGCAUUUCGGUGUGUAAACUCCUUUUAUAUGUCAAGAAAAUGACGGUAGCAUAUGAAUAAGCACCGGCUAGACUCCGUGCCAGCAGCCGCGGUAAUACGGAGGGUGCAAGCGUUACUCGGAAUCACUGGGCGUAAAGGACGCGUAGGCGGGUUGGAAAGUCAGGUGUGAAAUCCUACAGCUUAACUGUAGAACUGCACUUGAAACUUCUAAUCUAGAGUAUGGGAGGGGGAGAUGGAAUUAGUGGUGUAGGGGUAAAAUCCGUAGAUAUCACUAGGAAUACCUAAAGCGAAGGCGAUCUCCUGGAACAUUACUGACGCUAAGGCGUGAAAGCGUGGGGAGCAAACAGGAUUAGAUACCCCAGUAGUC